RNAcentral lists this ribosomal RNA (761 nucleotides) under uncultured bacterium. RNAcentral describes it as "bacterial SSU rRNA". It matches the Rfam family "Bacterial small subunit ribosomal RNA", at positions 697 to 1452 of the family's 1533-position model. The record is from RNAcentral.
UCAGGAGGAACACNGAUGGCGAAGGCAGGUCUCUGGNCAGUAACUGACGCUGAGGAGCGAAAGCAUGGGGAGCGAACAGGAUUAGAUACCCUGGUAGUCCAUGCUGUAAACGGUGGGCGUUAGGUGUGGGGACCGGUUUGGUUUCUGUGCCGUAGCUAACGCAUUAAGCGCCCCGCCUGGGGAGUACGGCCGCAAGGCUAAAACUCAAAGGAAUUGACGGGGGCCCGCACAAGCGGCGGAGCAUGUGGAUUAAUUCGAUGCAACGCGAAGAACCUUACCUGGGUUUGACAUGCACCAGACGGUUGUAGAGAUACGUACCUCCCUUUGUGGUUGGUGUGCAGGUGGUGCAUGGUUGUCGUCAGCUCGUGUCGUGAGAUGUUGGGUUAAGUCCCGCAACGAGCGCAACCCUUGUCUUAUGUUGCCAGCACUUUGGGUGGGGACUCAUGAGAGACUGCCGGGGUUAACUCGGAGGAAGGUGGGGAUGACGUCAAAUCAUCGUGCCCUUUAUGCCCAGGGCUUCACACAUGCUACAAUGGUUAGUACAACGCGCUGCAAGCCUGUGAGGGUGAGCGAAUCGCUGAAAGCUAAUCUCAGUUCGGAUUGGGGUCUGCAACUCGACCCCAUGAAGUCGGAGUCGCUAGUAAUCGCAGAUCAGCAAUGCUGCGGUGAAUACGUUCCCGGGCCUUGUACACACCGCCCGUCACGUCAUGAAAGUUGGUAACACCCGAAGCCCAUGGCCUAACCACCAUUUUUGGUGGGGG